This is a long non-coding RNA of Pristis pectinata (smalltooth sawfish), 2842 nucleotides long. RefSeq lists it as uncharacterized. The transcript has 3 exons. Lineage: Eukaryota; Metazoa; Chordata; Chondrichthyes; Rhinopristiformes; Pristidae. The record is from RefSeq and is a predicted model, not a curated record.
AAUGCUCGGGGAAUGGAGAAGCCUGGUGAGAAAUCCACCUUUCAGCAUCAAGAUACGUGGAAGAAAUUCAGGCCUGCAGCACAGAUGUUAGUGCAGAACCUUCCAAAGGGAAAAUGGUGUCCAGAUCCACCUAAUAGAACCAACCUUGAUGCAGCAGCUGAUGUUCAUGUUGCAAUUCCCAUCGCAGAGCAAGACUCCAUGGGAGCUUGGACGCUGCCACUCAAACCCAGAUUGCUGACAUUUUGCCUGUGGAUCACAAUACAUAAAGGGGCUUGCACGGUGACCAAGCUUCCAGCAAUCUGCCGUCCCAAAGAUCACUGAGGUGCCUCCAACCCUGAUUACCACAGCCCAUGCCAAGACACUGCAAUUUCCAACCAAGUUUCAAUAACCAGAACUCCUUGAACUUGUGCUUCGAAGGCUGUCUUUGGCUUCUAUCAUUGAAAGUCAGUGUUUGCACUAACUCUGCUGCAGCUGAUGUUAUGUCUUACAAAGGAACAGCAAGAUAGAAACAUUUCCAGAGCAUUAUUUGAAGACAAGCUAUGAAUUUUCCUGAUGCCACAGUUCUCAUUCCCCAUUCAGCCAAUAUCAACAAAGUCAAGUUAAUUGGCCAUUCCUCUUAUUGUUCUUUGUGGGAUCUUUCUAUGUACAUAUUUCAUUCUGUAUUCAGCUAAGACUUUAAAAGCAAUCAACUGGCUAUGAAACACUUUGGCACCUCCCAGGGAUGUGAAGGAAACCAUAUAAGUAGCUGCUGUAGAGAUGGUUGGCCGCUUCAAGUUCCUUGGCAUCCAUGUCACCAGCAAGCUGACCUGGUCCCUUCACGUUGAUGCGGUGAUUAAGAAAGCCCAUCAGUGGAUUCACUUUCUCAGACUUCUAAGAUUCAACUUGUCCAUGAGGAUUCUCUCAAACUUCUACAGACAUGCUAUAGAAAGUUUGCAUCUCAGCCUGGUGUGGCAACUGCUCUGCUCUUGACCGUCAGAACCUGCAGAGAGAGGUAAACACUGCCCAGUCCGUCACAGGCUCGUCACUUCCUUCCAUCCAGUCCAUCUUCACGGUGCGUUGCAUCAGGAAGGUUAACGGUCUCAUCAAGGAUGCCUGCCACCCUGGCCGUUCCCUUUUCUGUCUUCUACCUUCUGGGAGAAGAUACAGGAGCUUGAAAGCCCAGACGUCCAGACUUCAGAACAGCUUCUCCCCCACUGCUGUCAGACUCCUGAAGCAAUCGCCUCUCUCACAUCCCCUUCCCGGUGGUGCUGCCACGUUCUCGGACUCUCAACUCUACCUCUUUCAGUUAUUCUGCUAUGGUGACUUUAACAUUUCUUUUUGCACUACUUCGGAUUGCACUAUUGUCUUUGCACCAUUUUGUUGUUUUGAGCUCAUCAUUGUAUUGUUAUGUUUAUUAUUACCAUGUACACUGUUUACUCUGUGAGCUUCAUUGCACCCUGGUGUAUAUGACAAUAAUCGAAUCCAAUCUAACAUUGAACCAUUGGAGCAAUUCUGAUUGACAUUGCUCACUGAGGUGUUGAAUCGGCAUUCCAUCCAAACCCAAGGGUUUCCUGUUCAGUGGCUCCAUAGAAUGGAAUUAUACAAUUGUUUACAGGAUAUAAAGAGGUCUUUCGGCCCAUUGUGUCCAAUCCAGCUCUUAAUGGAAUAAUCCCAUCAGCCCCAUUUUCCUGCUCUUUUCCCACAACUAUGAAAACAAUUUUCCCUUGAUUAUCUAUUCAAUUCCCUUUAAAAAUACUGAUUGAUUCCGUUUUCGCCAUCCUGACAGGCAAUGAGUUCCAAAUGAUUGUUGCCUUCCCCCUCAAAACAAAACAUUCUCUCCUAGCCCCUCAUAUCUUUUAAAUUUAUAAAACUGAAGAUUUGUCUUUGAACCAUCUACUAAGCUGGAAAGAGUGCAGAGGAGAUUUACGAGCAUGUUGCUGGGACUCAAGGGACUGAGUUUUGGAGAGAGGUUGAGUAGAUUGGGACUUUAUUCAUGGAGAGUAGGAGAACGAGGGGUGGUGUAUAAAAUAAUAAGGGACAUAGAUAAGGUGAAUACCCACAGAUUUUUUCCCAGGGUUGGGGAAUCAAGAAUUAGAGGGCAUAGGUUUAAGGUGAGAGGGGAGAGAUUUAAUAGGAACCUGAGGGGCAACUUUUUCACCCAGAGCUUGGUCAGUAUAUGGAACGAGCUGCCAGAGAAAGUGGUUGAAGCAGGUACAUUAACAACAUUUAAAAUGUACUUGGACAGGUACAUGGAAAGGAAAGGUUUAGAGGGAUAAGGAUCAAAUAUGGGCAGAUGGCAGUAGCUUAGAUGGGAAUCUUGGACGGCAUGGACCAGUUGGGCCGAAGGGCCUGUUUCUGUGCUGUAUGACUCUAUGACUCUAAAGAAAACAGCUUGCCUCUUAGGAUAAAAAUAUUCUCAGUGAUUUGAUUUUAAAGAUUGAAAGCAUUGAAUGAUGGCAUACAAUAAUGUCUAAUAAUAGUGAAUAAACACAGGGUGAGGUCGCUCAGAGUCUAAUUGCAAAUUGGAAGGUGCUCUUUGUACUUUUAGGCAUCUAAAUCAAAGGCAAGCUUUUUUCAUUUUGAUAAAGCUUGUUUUGCAUCUGUAAAUGGAAGUGUGGUAUGUUCAAUUGUGAUACCAGGAGUGUGAGACAUCUGCAAAUUCAAAACAUUCAAAAAUAUAUACAUGUAACACUCAUGGCACUGCUCACACUGAGUUAGUUGUUAGAAUAUUAUGUCUCUUUGUUACCAGAGCUACAAAUUUUCAGUAAGUAGAUAAAACAGAAUUGGACUUCCAGGAUUAUUUCGCAAUGUUCUCAAGAUCCAAUCCUGUUGGUUUGUAAACCAUAUAAAUUAUGCUUGAUUA